AAAGACUAAACUUAAAUGUCAAAGAUAAAUAUAAAAUAUCAGAUAAAAUUUUUAUAAAUAGAUCAAUUAUGAAAUAAAUUAUAAUUAGACCGUCACCAUCUACCAUAUCUUUGAAAUACACUGCAUAUAUAUAAAAUAUUAAUAAAAUAAAAAUAAAUAAAUUUUAAAAAUAUUUAAAUAAUUUUAACAAACACCACAUAAUCCUUUAC
RNAcentral lists this long non-coding RNA (209 nucleotides) under Elaeis guineensis (African oil palm). RNAcentral describes it as "long non-coding RNA (EGUI_LNC069562)". The record is from RNAcentral. Lineage: Eukaryota; Viridiplantae; Streptophyta; Magnoliopsida; Arecales; Arecaceae.